RNAcentral lists this ribosomal RNA (253 nucleotides) under uncultured bacterium. RNAcentral describes it as "partial 16S ribosomal RNA". It matches the Rfam family "Bacterial small subunit ribosomal RNA", at positions 524 to 776 of the family's 1533-position model. The record is from RNAcentral.
UACGUAGGGUGCAAGCGUUGUCCGGAAUUAUUGGGCGUAAAGAGCUCGUAGGCGGUCUGUCGCGUCGGCUGUGAAAACUCGGGGCUCAACCCCGAGCCUGCAGUCGAUACGGGCAGACUAGAGUGCGGUAGGGGAGAUUGGAAUUCCUGGUGUAGCGGUGGAAUGCGCAGAUAUCAGGAGGAACACCGAUGGCGAAGGCAGAUCUCUGGGCCGUAACUGACGCUGAGGAGCGAAAGCAUGGGGAGCGAACAGG